RNAcentral lists this ribosomal RNA (498 nucleotides) under uncultured bacterium. RNAcentral describes it as "partial 16S ribosomal RNA". It matches the Rfam family "Bacterial small subunit ribosomal RNA", at positions 30 to 523 of the family's 1533-position model. The record is from RNAcentral.
AUUGAACGCUGGCGGCAUGCCUUACACAUGCAAGUCGAACGGUAACAGGUCUUCGGAUGCUGACGAGUGGCGAACGGGUGAGUAAUACAUCGGAACGUGCCUAGUAGUGGGGGAUAACUACUCGAAAGAGUGGCUAAUACCGCAUGAGAUCUACGGAUGAAAGCAGGGGAUCGCAAGACCUUGUGCUACUAGAGCGGCCGAUGGCAGAUUAGGUAGUUGGUGGGAUAAAAGCUUACCAAGCCGACGAUCUGUAGCUGUGCUGAGAGGACGAUCAGCCACACUGGGACUGAGAAACGGCCCAGACUCCUACGGGAGGCAGCAGUGGGGAAUUUUGGACAAUGGGCGCAAGCCUGAUCCAGCAAUGCCGCGUGCAGGAUGAAGGCCUUCGGGUUGUAAACUGCUUUUGUACGGAACGAAAAGCCCCGGGUUAAUACCCUGGGGUCAUGACGGUACCGUAAGAAUAAGCACCGGCUAACUACGUGCCAGCAGCCGCCGUAA